RNAcentral lists this long non-coding RNA (242 nucleotides) under Elaeis guineensis (African oil palm). RNAcentral's name for it is "long non-coding RNA (EGUI_LNC028261)". Lineage: Eukaryota; Viridiplantae; Streptophyta; Magnoliopsida; Arecales; Arecaceae. The record is from RNAcentral.
GCCUGACAAUGAGAGGUAGUGGAUGUUGUGUGAAAUUAUACCAUGCCUUCAAUGUUCAUGUUUAUUGUUGAUUGGGACAAGAAAAUUAUAGCAACCAGUCCAAAACUCGGUGUUUGCCAUGCUGGUAGCGAUGGUGGUGCCAAGACUAUGGCAACAUUGUCUUUCUUCAUCAGGCUAGAGUUUAAUCUGAACUUUCCCUUCUUGAUAUAUGUCUGUGUUCAAACUUCCUAAGUGGGUACUGC